Molecule: long non-coding RNA, 959 nt
Organism: Cyprinus carpio (common carp)
Lineage: Eukaryota; Metazoa; Chordata; Actinopteri; Cypriniformes; Cyprinidae
Exons: 3
Source: RefSeq, a predicted model, not a curated record
UAAACACUAGAACAAAAACUAAAUAGGCUAAAUAAAAACUACUUUAGUUUUUGUAUUUCCAAUCAAUUCUGGAUAAUCUGAUUGAAUUAAUCUCCUAAGCAUACAUUGUUUUAUACUUGUGUUCGGUCGGAGAGAGAGCAGCCAGGAAAAGGUGGCAAUUGUGGGCAUGUGAUAUAAUAAGUCACAUGAUCACUCUCUUGCCGCUUGUUUGCUCUAGUCUCCACCUAUUUCCUCUACACCAAUAAAACUGUAAGAGUUCUCAUUACUGGCAGCUGCCUGCACUGGUAUUGGGAAUAAAUAUUUAUUGUUUGUUUACACUUAGAAUUCGAUUCUCUUGAUUCUUUUGGUCUAAACCAAAAAUAAAACGAUAGGCCUACAUUUAGUCCUGGUUCACCUGUUAUUUUUUACAAGUUUAUAAAACAGACAAAUGAAGAUCUGCUGCAAGGAAACGGCGGUUCGACAUCUGUACUGAACUGUAUUGGGCAACAUACCUCCUAUAACAGGAAGAACCAGGAAUCGAAUGGACCAUGAUCAGUAAAAAUUUACAUGAAGAAUGGAAUGCAUCACAUUAUUCAUGCGAGCCUUUGCAAGCAGAUGUCCAAGACUGCUGUAUGAGUUCGUAUUUUUGGGCCAAACAGAGACAAAUUGCAGCUUGGCAAGGCAUCGUGCAUCUGUGAUUUUGGAACAGGUGUUAACAGACCUGAAGAUGCAUUUUUAUUCGACAUCAAUGGGAAAAACACAACCUGUGCAGGUUUUCUGCUGCAGACUAAUGUAAAUUAAUGACCAUGUGGUGUGAAAAACAUCCUCACUCCAUUUUUCACAAUGCAUAUGCUACAAAACAAAGACUUAAAGGCAUUGAUUUUAAAAGUUCCUGCAUCUGUAUCCUAAAAUGUCAAACAGUUUUCAAGACAAGGCAGUAAGUAUUGUGUGAAUGACAGGAAACCUGGUCUUGUCACCAU